UUAAUUUUUUCUUGAAGUGAUGAGCAAAUAAUUCUCGUUUGUCCCCUUCUUCAUUAUCUGCAUUAUUUAAUAGUUGCUCCAUCACUGAUAAUUGCAGAAGGGGCAAAUAAUUCUUUUAAGUGAUGGAAGCAGAUAACCUAACUAGCUAGAUACGAUUUGGCACUGUCGGCUACCAUUUUGAUCAAUAACUCGCUCAAUCCCAACUACUUGCUUUUGAUUACAUUACACCAGAUCAGUGAGAGUUAUCAUUUUCUGGAUUGAAGAGUAUGGAAGCUGCGCCUCUUAUGAAAGAGGGUUGGCCUUUGACGCCAUUUGAUGGUAUUCUUGUCGAUGAGAUAACGAAUGAUAAUCUUCAACUUCUUGUGGUUGCUCAGUAUGGGAGAAAUCCUGAUCAGAUGGGUCAAUGUUAUAUAAAUUUGUGUUAUGUUUAAAUAAAUAAAAAUGACAUACUAUUGUCUUCCAUUGUGAGUGUUGAUUUGAUUCAACUAAUAAUAAGAUCUUUUGAUAGAUAUAAGAGAUCUAUUGGUUUGUAU
RNAcentral lists this long non-coding RNA (533 nucleotides) under Citrus maxima (pomelo). RNAcentral describes it as "long non-coding RNA (CMAX_LNC002943)". Lineage: Eukaryota; Viridiplantae; Streptophyta; Magnoliopsida; Sapindales; Rutaceae. The record is from RNAcentral.